Molecule: ribosomal RNA, 433 nt
Filed under: uncultured bacterium
Lineage: Bacteria
Description: partial 16S ribosomal RNA
Rfam family: Bacterial small subunit ribosomal RNA
Source: RNAcentral
AACGAACGCUGGCGGCAUGCCUAACACAUGCAAGUCGAACGAGACCUUCGGGUCUAGUGGCGCACGGCUGCGUAACGCGUGGGAACCUGCCCUUAGGUUCGGUAUAACUCCCCGAAAGGGGUGCUAAUACCGGUUAAUGUCUUCGGACCAAAGAUUUAUCGCGUUUGGGUGGGCGCGCGUUAGAUUAGCUGGUUGGUAGGGUAAAAGCAUACCAAGGCGACGAUCCAUAGCUGGUCUGAGAGGAUGAUACGCCACACUGGGAAUGAGACACGGCCCAGACUCCUACGGGAGGGAGCAGUGGGGAAUAUUGGACAAUGGGCGAAAGCGUGAUCAAGCAAUGCCGCGUGAGUGAUGAAGGCCUUAGGGUUGUAAAGCUCUUUUACCCGGGAUGAUAAUGACAGUACCGGGAGAAUAAGCUCCGGCUAACUACGUG